GGCCUCGCAAUUCUUACCACAAGCUGUGUUCUUUACACUGACUGUAUAGAAAGAGGAGGUAUAGUAAGUGUACCCCAUAUACACCUCGACACAUACCCUUUUCUGGUCUGUAUUGUGAAUUGGGGGACAAAA
Molecule: small nucleolar RNA, 132 nt
Organism: Suncus etruscus (white-toothed pygmy shrew)
Lineage: Eukaryota; Metazoa; Chordata; Mammalia; Eulipotyphla; Soricidae
Product: small nucleolar RNA SNORA51
Exons: 1
Source: RefSeq, a predicted model, not a curated record